GAAGGAGAGGAAACAUUUGAUUCUUCGCUUCUUGGGCUUGCAGAUGAAGUUUUGGAGGAUCGUGUUGCCGAUGAUGAUGUGAUCCUGAUAAAAGGGACCAGAACCACAAGUGCAAGGUGUGAAUGACUACAUGCUUGAUGAGAUGGAGCGAGCUCUGUGUGAUGCUUUAGCAUCUUUAAGAGCUCAGUUGAGUCCAAUAUGGGUUCCUGGUUGUGGUGCAGUUGAGGCUGCUUUGUCUCUGCAUUUGGAGUGUCUUGAAACAACUUUAGGUUCUUGAGAAUUUGCAACUGCAGAGUUCUCUGAAUCACUUCUGAUUAUACCAAAGUGAAUGCUGCAAAGGAUGCAACUAAGUUGGUUUCAAAAUGUUGGGCAUACCACCAUACUGCAUAAAGGCUAAGGCAGAUUACCAGCAUUAUCAAGCAUGGAGUUAGAACUGUCCAGGGGAACCAUCCACAACAACUUAGAAUCUGGGUUUAUCGAGCUUGCGAUGAGCAAAGUGAAGAUUUUACAGACAACGUGAUCAAGGUUGUUGAAGAUGAACAUGAAAAUGAAGAACAAGAUUACCUAGUCUCAAACUCUUUAAGACAUAACACAAGCUACAGUUUUUCUUAGCUUGUACAUGCAUUGGUGCCGUGAAACUGGAGGAAGGGGGGCUAUUCCAUUUCUCUGUUUUCCUCCCCUGCACCAAAACACUAGUCCCCUUGGGCUCUUGUAAACAAACUGCCUAGCUCUUGCUAGAAACAUGAGGGGCUUAUUUUGGAUUUAAUAUUGGUGAUUUACAUUGAAAUAGCUUGUGACUUGAGCAUAAAUUAUUGGUUAAAGUUUAGCUUAAUUGCUACCAUCUAUCCAUUACACAGUGAGAAAACAUUGCAUCAGUUACACGGGUCUUAUUAAUUGGGGUUCUGGGGGGGAUCUCUAUCAGAUCUUGUGAUUGAGCUGCAGCAAUCCCAUUCUAAAUUAUUUUGGUUUCUUGAUGAAUUAGUUGUUGGGGGCAGGUUGGUCCUGGGGUUUUUGUGCCCUAGCUUGCAACCUUAAACCAAUCUAAAACCCCAGUUUUGAAUUCCUUGCUUAACCAUAAGGGUCUUACCCAGAGCUUAUACUACCCUGAAACUCAAAAAAAUGUGAUUUAAUAAAAUGAGAACACUCUGGAGCAGGCUUUUAAUUUUCUGGCAUAGGAGCCAUGUAUGCACACGACCAGGUUGAGAUCUUUUGCCAAAAAAGAAAAAAUAAAUAAAGAUCUACUUGUCUACAAUCUACAUUUUCUUUAGCCCAUUAAACAUGUCAUGUAGCACAAUUGCACGUCAUUGAUAAAUUCCAUACUGACAUUACUUUUUUUUGCUAGAAAUGUUGGGAUCCGAUUCCUCUACUGUGGAAUAGAGGCAGCAACUCAGAUCCAAUGCCCUGGAGCUUCCCGAAAUGAAACCCAACGCAUAAGACUAGAUACAAAUUCCUGGUCUGUGCGUCUAUAUUUGCAACAUGGCUGGUUAGAUGGGGCUGAAAUUCUGUUGAUAGGUAGACACUAAGGUCCCCUGCAAUCACAUGUCAAAUUUCAGUUCAAAUGGAGUUUGCCAAAUGGGAAGUAGCAAAACAAAGUAUUGAAAAUUUUGGAGAGAUCGAUCCAAUAGCAGUUGGUUUGAUAGAAGGUAUGCAUGGGCAUACACAGGGACGCAUACAAGACAUGGGAGACCAUCAAAUUUAACAUGUGGCUAAUCAAGUGAAUUUCCUCUUUGUCCAAUGGUCAGAAUGGCCACCUCGCAUUCCAUGUGGCACAAAUAUGUGUGCUAGACCAGGUUAGUUGCUGGUGGCUGGGCAUUUUAGAGGCUGCUUUGUCUGUGUACUUGGGAGUGUCUUGCUACAACAAUUUGCAGCUGCAGAGUUCUCUGAAUCCCUUCUGAUUAUUCCAAAGGUCUUCACUCUUCGGCGAAUGCUGCAAAGGAUGCAAUUUGGUAUGGGGUUAGACCUUUCCAGGGGAACCAUCCACAAGAUCUCAGAAGCAGGGGUUAUCGAGCCAGCAAUGACCAAAGGAAGAUUUUACAGUUUGCUACCAAAACUUCGUUACAAAUUUGUGUAUAGACAACAUGAUCAAGGUUGUGAAAGAUGGACGUGGAAAUGGAGAGUAGGACUCACAACAGAAGUUACAGUUUUGCUCAGUUCAUGCAUGCGUUGGUGCUGUGAAACAGAUGAGUCUCACAAUAUGUGUAUAUCCCCGCAUUAUUUGUGCAAAAGAGAACAGUAUUGAACAUACUCCAAAGCUCUUCUAGGCUCUCUCCAGUACAAACAAAGAGAAUACUGAAGCUCUUUCCUAACGAGAGAAUACAUCUUCAAUAUUCCUUAAGAAGAGAGAACCCACCCACUUUACACUUGGAGGAUUAACAUACCCUUCUUAUUUUCCAACUAAAAGGCUUCAAAAGUGCAGCAAAAUCAAGAAGUUGAAAGAUCUCGCAUUGUUAUAGAGAGGGCAAAUCCAAUUAUGGACUUCCUAGCCAAAAGUGCAGUAAAAUCAAGAUCCUCGAAUGAGAUGGUUUCCCUUGCUAGUCAUAUUAGCGAAGAGCUGGCCAUUGAUGCAAUGUCUAGACCGAGAUUCAGAUUCCAAUGAUUUGUGUAGGCUUUCCAGCUGAUGGCAAUGCCGAAGGUGGGGAUUGGUCCUAUCAGUCUUGGGGUUGAUUUUUUCAGCAUAGGUGGUUCUCUGAUGUAUUUGAUGUUUUCUUCUUUUUAAUAUAAUUUGAUAAAAAGUAGAAGUAGAAAAUUUUGGUCAUAAA
Molecule: long non-coding RNA, 2759 nt
Organism: Macadamia integrifolia
Lineage: Eukaryota; Viridiplantae; Streptophyta; Magnoliopsida; Proteales; Proteaceae
Exons: 10
Source: RefSeq, a predicted model, not a curated record